Cottoperca gobio is the source of this 2830-nucleotide long non-coding RNA. NCBI's taxonomy places the organism in Eukaryota, Metazoa, Chordata, Actinopteri, Perciformes, Bovichtidae. The record is from Ensembl.
AAAGUUGUCUGGCGUUGCACAGGUUGAAGCGCGAGGCCUCUUGAGGUCACAGUGUUGGGGGGAAAACACAUUACACAUUCACUACAGCACGAGAGGACGGGGACCCGCGCAACUGCUUUCCCCCUCGUCUUAUCUCUCGUUCUGUUCUCCCGUUGUGUCGUGCGAUUGAGAGCAUUUCAAUGGCAGGAAUCUUUGUUUUGUUGAAUAGCGCGGCCUGGUCGCACACAGAUGCCAAGACAUUCCUGGAGCUGGUAGUCUUUCCUUUUGGCAGGCCUGCACCUCUGUCUCCUCUCCUCUCCUCUCCUCUCCGUGUGCUCUCUUUAUUUUCACUCCUCUUCGUGACUUGGUUCCUCCUCGCGGUGACAGUCAUGGAGAGAGCGGCGCAGUACAGUAGGUCCACCUGAUGGACCGGAAAAUGGACUCAGUCCUGCGGAUCUUGAUGCAGCAGUUUCCGCCCAAGACGGAGCUGACGUACAAGCCCUCCAUCCGCAGGGUGACCAUCCAGAACCGCAUGGGUGCCAGCAUCGAUGAGGGGCUCUGAUGUAACAGCGAUGGUCACGCUGGGUACGAUGGUGUCAUCACCAAAGAAGGACUAGAAGUUCACAACAGCCUAGCCCACUAUAUGGGGAGCAAGCCUGCAAAUAAUAAGGGGGCUCAGUCUUCCAAAAUAAACUCUCCCUCUCUUCCAUUUGCAAUCCCACCUUUUCUUAUUGACUUUUGACCACUGAGAAGAGAACAACCUUUAAUUGUCCACUUGGCGCCGGGUUCCUCUGGGAGUGGGAUUCAUGGUGUAGAAAGAAGGCGAACUGACCUCUUCCUUCUGCCACUGUUGGCCCUGUUUGAUCCGUCUAAAUCAGGGGUGUCAAACUCAUUUUAGUUCAGGGGACACAUGCAGCACAAUUUGAUCCCAAGUGGGCCGGACCAGUAACAUCACAGCAUAAUAACCUGUAAAUAACCACAACUCCAAAUGUUUCCCUUCGUAAGUACAUUCUGAAAAUGUUCAAACUUAAUCUUUUUACAAAAUAUUAUGAACAACCUGAAAUCUCUUAAGAAAAAUAAAGGUGCAAUUUCAACAAUAGUGUUUAUCAUUUACACGUGUGUGUUACAACUUACUGAUCACAGUGUAUCUACAAAGAUGUUUACUUUCUGAUCAAAACAACUCAUUAAUACACUUUGCAAAGUCAUCCCGCGGGCCGGAUUGGACCCACUGGUGGGCCGGUUUUGGCCCACGGGCCGCAUGUUUGACAUCCCUGGUCUAAAUGUAGCUUUCUCUUAUACACCAGCAUUGUGGGCCCUCAGUCUUCCCCCGCAGGACACAGUGAUUCAAUCAUGGACACGCUAUAUGAAUUUCCCUCUGUUAACCUCAUAAUCACUCUGCUCAGAUAAUGCUAAUUUAUGUGUGGCCUGACAUUGAGCUGCAUUCCUCCACUCCAAAUAUUAUUCCAAAGCUAACUAACCCAGUAAUGAAGUCAUAAUGCAAUCAAAGCACUUAAGUUCCCCAAAGACACUGGCAGAGGCGUUCCUCAAAUCCUUCUGAUUAUCUUGGCACUCUCCACCCCACCGGUACACAACACUGUUAUUUCCAUAGCCACAUAUCCAUCUAGUGUAACUGUACUUAGGCUGCGACGGGUGUUUGUUAGUAGUGAUCGAAUAACACGAGGAGGGAAGUGCACAUUAUCUGUUGACUUUGCCCGACGUUAGGAACCGGAAGGCUGGAGUAAAAGAAAUGGAACUAGAGAAAUGUGUGUGAGGUGGGAGGCUAACAUGGUGCUGAUUUACAGCUACAUUGAAGCGAAUGAAAAUAGCCAAACUGUCCGUGACAAGGCGCGGUGCAGGAAUACAGUCCGAAAUUAGGGGCGGGGGUCCCUCAGAUUAUUACGCGUACAUCGAUCUCAAACGCUUUUAACGGCACCACUGCUCACUCCACCCUGCUUAAUAUCCUCCAUUACUCUCUUCAGGGGGCUCCCACUGCUGUGCGCAAUUUGAAAUAAAUUUGCCCCAUUAAAGCUCUGAUUAUUUUUUCUCUGCUGAGCUAAUUAAGUGCUGAAUUCCUGGUAAAGGGAGAUUACUCACUGUGAGCGACUAAUGAAAAGAAACACUGGAAAAUGUGCAGAAUUUAAACAGUAAGCUCUGAGGAGCAGGCGCACUAAUUCUGUGUGAAAGGUUUUGGAAAUAUCUCCGCUACCACCGUUUGAAAUCCAAAUAAAAAAAAAGACAACGCUGUCACUUUGUUUCCCCGUACUUAUCUGACGGGAUGCCGAGGCAUGUAGGAAGUAGAAAAUAGAAAAAUAAGUGUGUAACUACUGUGUGAAAGGCCUCCCGUAAUUAUAGCAUGCACGUUCCUCAAGAGACGGAUGCACACACACACACACACACACACACACACAAGAGGAGUGAACAAGAGGAGAGAUAAUAGAUUCCUUCUCACUGCACUAGUAUAUAUUUUCAUAUUUUUUUUUGUUGCGUUGGUUGAAAAAAACAUUAAUCUUACAUUAAAUAAAGUGGUUGUAUUUUGAAAAGGUACUCUAUUUUUGUGACAGAUCUUGAUACAUAUCCGCCUGUCUGUUCUUCUGUACAGUUUUAUAUGAGUUGUAAAUAGACAUUGCCUUAUUGUACGGUAUUUAUUAUCAUGUGGAAAGAUCAACCUGGAACAUGUCUACUUAUCGGAGCGAUGAGAAACACACAGAGUACGACUCCUGUUGUACAGAUGGAUGGAAAUGAUUGUAAAUGAUAUUCACGCACACCCUCUGCACUGUAGCCCUGCUGUAAAUAAUAAAACUCCAUUUCAUUAUGCUCUGGCCUGCUCUCUUGGCUUGCGAGGAAUUUGAUU